UUUUUAUACAGUAUGCUUCUUUUACAUGGACUCAAUCUGCUUCAUUUAUCCAUCAUAAAGAAAAUCAUCUAAGUUACCCAUCCCGCUACUUAAAAGAGCAGACUUCAUCAAAAUUCACAAUGUUGUAAAUCACAAGGGGCAAGUAUGACGAAGAAGAGAGAUUAAAAAAGAAAAAGAAAAAGAUGGUCUUCAAGCUACACUUUAUAAAAUUUAGAACAGGAAUGGCUCCAUCAUAUUUGAUGGACAAAAAGACAGGGAAAUCUGUAAAUAUCUGCAAACAAAUAUGUUUUGAAAAACCCAUCCCUUCCUCUUCCUAGAAUGAUAUGAUGUUCUGUUUUAGCCAACUAGUAAUACUUCUAAUUCCCUAACAUGCAUUUUUUUCUAUUUUUCCUUGUCAAGAGUUUGCUGCCCUGCGAACUGCUAAACCAUAUCUUCCAGUUGCCGUCAACACCAAAUUCCAGCUUCGGCACACUUCACUGCCACCAAUUAAGCACCUUCAGUCUCGACCAUGACAAAUGCUUG
RNAcentral lists this unclassified non-coding RNA (522 nucleotides) under Hevea brasiliensis (rubber tree). The record is from RNAcentral. Lineage: Eukaryota; Viridiplantae; Streptophyta; Magnoliopsida; Malpighiales; Euphorbiaceae.